CAUCAAAAAUAUGAAAUACUGGCCAGGCGUUAUGGCUCUUGCCUGUACUCCCAUUGCUUUGGAAGGCUGAGGCGGGUGGAUACCUUUGAGGCCAGGAGUUCAAGACCAUCCUGAGCAACAGGGCAAAACCUUGUCUCUACUAAAAAUACAAAAAAUUAGCUGGGCAUGGUGGCCUGUACCUAUAAUCCCAGCUACUUGGGAGUUUUUAAAGCACAAUAAAAUAUAAACUGCUCUUGAGGUAAAGUGACUUCAAAGCUGUAAUCUGCAGCAAAAGCUCCAAUCCUGCAAGUAGCAGACUCAGGCAGAGGUGACUUCCUAGGCAGAUCCAUGUUUUCUUUCUCUUUACUUGUUACAAAAAAAAAAAAAAAAAAAAGAAAGCCACUAAUCAAAACUUUUAUAAUGCAAUAUGUCAGAUAUAAGCAAUUUUUGCCAAAAGUGUGUCCACUGAAUCUUCAAACUUCUUAGAAAUCAUUUUUUGAAGCCCGGAACUUACUGGUAACAUUACUACCU
Molecule: long non-coding RNA, 510 nt
Filed under: Homo sapiens (human)
Lineage: Eukaryota; Metazoa; Chordata; Mammalia; Primates; Hominidae
Description: non-protein coding MIR4435-2HG:31
Source: RNAcentral